UGGGCUGUGCUGUCUACACCGGCCUGGGCUGUGCUGUCUACACACCGUCACCUGCCUGGGCCGUGCUGUCUACACACCGACACCGGCCUGGGCCGUGCUGUCUACACACCGUCACCUGCCUGGGCCGUGCUGUCUACACACCGUCACCUGCCUGGGCUGUGCUGUCUACACACUGACACCGGCCUGGGCCGUGCUGUCUACACCGGCCUGGGCCGUGCUGUCUACACACCGUCACCUGCCUGGGCCGUGCUGUCUACACACCGUCACCUGCCUGGGCCGUGCUGUCUACACACCGUCACCUGCCUGGGCCGUGCUGUCUACACACCGUCACCUGCCUGGGCCGUGCUGUCUACACACCGUCACCUGCCUGGGCCGUGCUGUCUACACACCGUCACCUGCCUGGGCCGUGCUGUCUAGACACCGUCACCUGCCUGGGCCGUGCUGUCUACACACCGUCACCUGCCUGGGCCGUGCUGUCUACACACCGUCACCUGCCUGGGCCGUGCUGUCUACACACCGUCACCUGCCUGGGCUGUGCUGUCUACACACUGACACCGGCCUGGGCCGUGCUGUCUACACCGGCCUGGGCCGUGCUGUCUACACACCGUCACCUGCCUGGGCCGUGCUGUCUACACACCGACACCGGCCUGGGCCGUGCUGUCUACACACCAUCACCUGCCUGGGCCGUGCUGUCUACACACCGUCACCUGCCUGGGCCGUGCUGUCUACACACCGUCACCUGCCUGGGCCGUGCUGUCUACACACCGUCACCUGCCUGGGCC
This 782-nucleotide long non-coding RNA is filed under the name Homo sapiens (human). RNAcentral describes it as "HSALNT0274235". The record is from RNAcentral. Lineage: Eukaryota; Metazoa; Chordata; Mammalia; Primates; Hominidae.